AUCUGUAAUAAUUUUUCCGUUACUUUUAAUCAGAAGAUAUUUUAUUUUUUCGGUUUAUUCUGAAUUAUCUUCACUUCCUUCUCAAUUAUCUUAUUUCAAUUUUAUUUUAUUCCCUUUUCAGUCAUUCAUUCAUGCUUCUAGUUCGUUAAUGUUAUUUAACAAGUCAAGUGUGAAUAUAAGUUUAAUCAAAUGGACAAGUAUUAUUUUGAUUGGUUUUGAUCCACUGAGAGAUGGGCUUCCUUGGCUUUCACCAUCAUCUUCAACAUCUUCAUCAUUUUCAUCAUUUUCAUCAGCAAGUGAUUCCUUUCUGGUAAAACAGUGAAAAUCCUAUUUUCAAUUGAAGUGACACAAUAAGGAUUGUUGGUUUGUAAAAGUCUAGUCAAUACCAGUACACAAAAAAGUGAGGGAAUUCAAUCCCAAAGUUGCAUUCUGUAGAUUGGUUCUUAGGUGAUUGUUAUUUUACUGUAAAGGAGCAACAAUUACGUGUAAUGAUGAGCAGAAAAAAAGUUGAAUCAUUGGAGUCAAUGAAUUUUUUAUAUUUUUACACAAAAAAAAGAUGUAAUAAAUUUGAUGAAAUGAUUUCCUCUUGGACAACCUUUUUUAAUAAAAAGGGCAAAUGAGGUGAUUCAAAAAGCUGAUUGAAUUGAUGCAAGAAACAAUUUUGGCUCACAGUUCAUACAAAGUAGUUAUGUGAUUGACAUGAAGAAAUUUAUUGCGUAUAAAAUAGGUGAAUCUGCAUCAAUAUUAUAAUAGUAUGAUCUUUCAUCGAUGGUCAUGGACCACAUAAUUUAUUGUUUGCAAGGAAAGGAAUGGAAAUUACCUUCGAUUGAAACGCUCUCAGGACAUUUCACAAAUCCACAUCCAUUUGCUCAAAACAAAGCCAAAUCGCAAAUACAGUUAAUUUCGCAAGCAUGAUUUCUUGACCGUAUGUGGUUUCGCUUCACGAAACACUGAAUCUAGAGCUUAAAUUUCCAAGAUACGAUUCCUAACUCGAGUUAGAGAUCACCUAUUCAAUCCAAUUCAAUGUUUAAUGUCCUCAUCAACUUGGACUUGUGAAUUUGAUGUUUAUGGUCAAUUCAUUUUAAACUUAAUUUCUAGUCAGAGAGGAUGAUUCAUUUUUACGUUUUUCACUGUAAAAAAAUGAGUUUUGAUCGACUUCUAGGAACUCCGGAUAUUAGAGAAGAUUCAGUUUCCUUAAAAAAAAUAUCUUUCAACUUGAAGCUCAACUUUAUCAACAUUAAUUCAAAAUGUUUGUCCUUUUAUUCACAUAACCACUUUAAACAACUGGACCCUCUUUUUCACACUCAAUUGUGUUCAUAUGAUUAGAAGUAGUCGAUAGAAAUAUUGAGAUUGACUUUUGAAAGCCAUUUGCGGUUAUUGAAAGCUCUAAAGGAAUAAUUUUUGCAUUAAUAUUAUUGAAGCAAAUUGUAUUUGAAAUAUUCAGUGAUCAUUAACAAUUUACAGAUUGUUAACCAUGUCCAGUUUAUUGGUAAAAUUGAAGGAAUUUUGAGUAAAAAUAAGUCUUUUUGAAGUGUUGAGGAUUUUCAAUUCCAAGAAAUGAUUUCAAAUUUUUUCAAGUUCUCAUCGAUAUUAUGAAAAAGUCUGUUAAAUCAUUUAAAUGUUAAUAAGAGAUAUUACAGCUUUGAUUAUUUGAACAAAGGCAAUAAUAAUAAUGAUAAUAAAAGCAAUAACAUUAAUGAUAAUUAUGAUUAAAGAAAAAGAGAGAAAAUCAGAAAUAAAAAGUUACUAUUAAAAAACAUGAGUCUCAUGAGUAACAAAUCGACUAAUAAUUUAACUGAAGAUUGACAUUUAUUUUUUAUAUUAACGCCAUUCUUGUUGUAUUUUGUCACUUUUGUUGCUUAUUAUUGCUCAUUGUUUGUUUAAUUGUUACUAAUCACUAUUAACUUGAGUAACAGCCUGAGUAAACACAAGUUGAGGUUAACUUGGUAAAGCAACAACCAAAGUUAAUGUGUUAAGUCAAGUAAAGUAAAGUCAAACAUGAAUGAACAAGUUGAACAUAUUGAUAGGAAUAAAAUAAGAGUAAGAUUGAAUUGAAAUGAAACUUAUUGAUCAGAUAGAUGAUUUGAAAUGAUAUCUUUUCACAUUCAUUGAAAGCCUUUGUAAAUAUAUGUUGAUAUGAAUGAUAAUCUUUACUGAUCCAGUUCUCAUUGCCAUUAAAACAGCGUUAAUCCAUUGACAGUGAAACAAGAAAUUUAUGUUUUCCUUUUUUUAUAUACAUUUAUAUGUACUUUUUGUGCAUUUGGUUAAUUGUUACAAACCAAAGGAACUUACAAUUCACCUUAUUAUUGAUCUUUUUUUUCUCAAGCUUUAAUUUAAUUUAUGAAGGAGAAACCAAUAAAUGGUUUUCCUCUUUUCUUGAUUAACGAUAUUUAUAUAAUGAUAAUGUUGAGCAAAUACAAGUUGAAUAUAUUUUUAUGUGUUAAGCAUAAGGUUGUGAACAUAAAAAUGAUUCCGAUAAUAAAGAAGGUGAUCAACUUAAGAAUCAUCUCAUGCAAUAAUCAAAUGAUGAUGACUUUGAUCAUACUCAACCUGAUCAUCAUCAUCAUCGUCAUCAUCUUGAUCCUACUCAUCGCACUCAUCACACUCAUCAUUGUCAUCAAUUUCGAGGGUUAACUGAUUGAAAAAUCAUGAAAAAGAUAUAAUUGUACAAUUGACCAAAUCUAUUGAAUAAAGUAUGUUUUAUGGUGGCUUAAA
Molecule: long non-coding RNA, 2715 nt
Organism: Tetranychus urticae (two-spotted spider mite)
Lineage: Eukaryota; Metazoa; Arthropoda; Arachnida; Trombidiformes; Tetranychidae
Source: RefSeq, a predicted model, not a curated record